RNAcentral lists this ribosomal RNA (817 nucleotides) under uncultured bacterium. Its description in RNAcentral is "bacterial SSU rRNA". It matches the Rfam family "Bacterial small subunit ribosomal RNA", at positions 44 to 887 of the family's 1533-position model. The record is from RNAcentral.
AGAGUACCCCUUAAAUAUAAUUCAAGUGGAACGGACCUUCGGGGUUAGUGGCGGACGGGUGAGUAACACGUGGAACGUGCCUUUUGGUUCGGAAUAGCUCCUGGAAACGGGUGGUAAUGCCGAAUGUGCCCUUCGGGGGAAAGAUUUAUCGCCAUUAGAGCGGCCCGCGUCUGAUUAGCUAGUUGGUGAGGUAAAGGCUCACCAAGGCGACGAUCAGUAGCUGGUCUGAGAGGAUGACCAGCCACAUUGGGACUGAGACACGGUCCAAACUCAUACGGGAGGCAGCAGUGGGGAAUCUUGCGCAAUGGGCGAAAGCCUGACGCAGCCAUGCCGCGUGAAUGAUGAAGUGUCUUAGGAUUGUAAAAUUCUUUCACCGGGGACGAUAAUGACGUGUACCCGGAGAAGAAGCCCCGGCUAACUUCGUGCCAGCAGCCGCGGUAAUACGAAGGGGGCUAGCGUUGCUCGGAAUUACUGGGCGUAAAGGGAGCGUAGCGGACAUUUAAGUCAGGGGUGAAAUCCCAGAGCUCAACUCUGGAACUGCCUUUGAUACUGGGUGUCUUGAGUGUGAUAGAGGUAUGUUGGAACUCCGAGUGUAGAGGUGAAAUUCGUAGAUAUUCGGAAGAACACCAGUGGCGAAGGCGACAUACUGGAUCAUUUACUGACGCUGAGGCUCGAAAGCGUGGGGAGCAAACCAGGAUUAGAUACCCUUGGUUAGUCCACGCCGUAAAACGAUGAUUUGCUAGGUAGGUUGGGAAUGUUUACAUCUCCGGUGACUGCAAGCUAAACGCAUUAGCAAUCCGGCCUGGGGAGUACGGUC